AUUGAACGCUGGCGGCAGGCCUAACACAUGCAAGUCGAGCGGUAGAGAGAAGCUUGCUUCUCUUGAGAGCGGCGGACGGGUGAGUAAUGCCUAGGAAUCUGCCUGGUAGUGGGGGAUAACGUUCGGAAACGGACGCUAAUACCGCAUACGUCCUACGGGAGAAAGCCGGGGACCUUCGGGCCUUGCGCUAUCAGAUGAGCCUAGGUCGGAUUAGCUAGUUGGUGGGGUAAUGGCUCACCAAGGCGACGAUCCGUAACUGGUCUGAGAGGAUGAUCAGUCACACUGGAACUGAGACACGGUCCAGACUCCUACGGGAGGCAGCAGUGGGGAAUAUUGGACAAUGGGCGAAAGCCUGAUCCAGCCAUGCCGCGUGUGUGAAGAAGGUCUUCGGAUUGUAAAGCACUUUAAGUUGGGAGGAAGGGCAGUAAAUUAAUACUUUGCUGUUUUGACGUUACCGACAGAAUAAGCACCGGCUAACUCUGUG
This 484-nucleotide ribosomal RNA is filed under the name uncultured bacterium. RNAcentral's name for it is "partial 16S ribosomal RNA". It matches the Rfam family "Bacterial small subunit ribosomal RNA", at positions 30 to 507 of the family's 1533-position model. The record is from RNAcentral.